Molecule: ribosomal RNA, 253 nt
Filed under: uncultured bacterium
Lineage: Bacteria
Description: partial 16S ribosomal RNA
Rfam family: Bacterial small subunit ribosomal RNA
Source: RNAcentral
GACGAACCGUGCGAACGUUGCUCGGAAUUACUGGGCGUAAAGGGCGCGUAGGCGGGAUGGCAAGUCGGUCGUGAAAUCCCUCGGCUCAACCGAGGAACGUCGAUCGAUACUGCUGUUCUUGAGGAUUGCAGAGGAGACUGGAAUUCCCGGUGUAGCGGUGAAAUGUGUAGAGAUCGGGAGGAACACCGGUGGCGAAGGCGGGUCUCUGGGCAAUUCCUGACGCUGAGGCGCGAAAGCGUGGGGAGCAAACGGG